GUAAAUUGUACUAAUAUGUUAAAUUUAAAAAUUGUUCCAUAUGAGAAACAAAAAAAAUAUAUAUAACAUAAAAUCAGAAACAAAUAUAUAAUAGUAUAAAAAUGAUCAUUACGAGAUAUAAUUACAACAAAUCCAAAAAAGAAAAACAUAAAAAAAAAAAAAAAUUAUGACAAUAUAUAAAAAGAUAAUGUAAACAAUUUAAAAUACAACAAUCCGCCC
RNAcentral lists this long non-coding RNA (219 nucleotides) under Capsella rubella. RNAcentral describes it as "long non-coding RNA (CRUB_LNC000814)". Lineage: Eukaryota; Viridiplantae; Streptophyta; Magnoliopsida; Brassicales; Brassicaceae. The record is from RNAcentral.